This 700-nucleotide ribosomal RNA is filed under the name uncultured bacterium. RNAcentral describes it as "bacterial SSU rRNA". It matches the Rfam family "Bacterial small subunit ribosomal RNA", at positions 59 to 739 of the family's 1533-position model. The record is from RNAcentral.
AAGUCGCACGAGAAAGGGCUUCGGCCCCGGUAAAGUGGCGCACGGGUGAGUAACACGUGGGUAACCUGCCCUCGAGCGGGGGACAACAUUCCGAAAGGAGUGCUAAUACCGCAUAAGACCACGGCCUCGAAAGAGGCUGGGGUAAAAGCUGGCCUCUAUACAUAAGCUAGCACUUGAGGAAGGGCCCGCGGCGCAUCAGCUAGUUGGUGGGGUAACGGCUCACCAAGGCUAAGACGCGUAGCUGGUCUGAGAGGAUGAUCAGCCACACUGGAACUGAGACACGGUCCAGACUCCUACGGGAGGCAGCAGUGGGGAAUCUUGCGCAAUGGACGAAAGUCUGACGCAGCGACGCCGCGUGAGUGACGAAGGCCUUCGGGUUGUAAAGCUCUGUGGGGAGAGACGAAUAAGUGCAACCUAAUACGUUGCAUGAUGACGGUAUCUUCUUAGCAAGCACCGGCUAACUCUGUGCCAGCAGCCGCGGUAAGACAGAGGGUGCAAACGUUGUUCGGAAUUACUGGGCGUAAAGCGUGUGUAGGCUGCCCUGUAAGUCGGAUGUGAAAGCCCUGGGCUCAACCCAGGAAGUGCAUUCGAAACUGCAGGGCUGGAGUAUCGGAGAGGUUGGUGGAAUUCUCGGUGUAGAGGCGAAAUUCGUAGAUAUCGAGAGGAACACCGGUGGCGAAGGCGGCCAACUGGACGAAUA